RNAcentral lists this transfer RNA (74 nucleotides) under Sasia ochracea. RNAcentral's name for it is "tRNA-Gln". It matches the Rfam family "tRNA". From Rfam's summary of the family: Transfer RNA (tRNA) molecules are approximately 80 nucleotides in length. Their secondary structure includes four short double-helical elements and three loops (D, anti-codon, and T loops). Lineage: Eukaryota; Metazoa; Chordata; Aves; Piciformes; Picidae. The record is from RNAcentral.
UAGAAAAUAAUAUAAGGGGAGUAUGAAGGGUUUUGAUCCCUUUUGUGUAGGUUCAAUUCCUACUUUUCUAAGUU